Molecule: ribosomal RNA, 779 nt
Filed under: Bacillus subtilis
Lineage: Bacteria; Bacillati; Bacillota; Bacilli; Caryophanales; Bacillaceae
Description: bacterial SSU rRNA
Rfam family: Bacterial small subunit ribosomal RNA
Source: RNAcentral
AGUGGGCUUACUAAUACAUGCAAGUCGAGCGGACAGAUGGGAGCUUGCUCCCUGAUGUUAGCGGCGGACGGGUGAGUAACACGUGGGUAACCUGCCUGUAAGACUGGGAUAACUCCGGGAAACCGGGGCUAAUACCGGAUGGUUGUUUGAACCGCAUGGUUCAAACAUAAAAGGUGGCUUCGGCUACCACUUACAGAUGGACCCGCGGCGCAUUAGCUAGUUGGUGAGGUAACGGCUCACCAAGGCAACGAUGCGUAGCCGACCUGAGAGGGUGAUCGGCCACACUGGGACUGAGACACGGCCCAGACUCCUACGGGAGGCAGCAGUAGGGAAUCUUCCGCAAUGGACGAAAGUCUGACGGAGCAACGCCGCGUGAGUGAUGAAGGUUUUCGGAUCGUAAAGCUCUGUUGUUAGGGAAGAACAAGUACCGUUCGAAUAGGGCGGUACCUUGACGGUACCUAACCAGAAAGCCACGGCUAACUACGUGCCAGCAGCCGCGGUAAUACGUAGGUGGCAAGCGUUGUCCGGAAUUAUUGGGCGUAAAGGGCUCGCAGGCGGUUUCUUAAGUCUGAUGUGAAAGCCCCCGGCUCAACCGGGGAGGGUCAUUGGAAACUGGGGAACUUGAGUGCAGAAGAGGAGAGUGGAAUUCCACGUGUAGCGGUGAAAUGCGUAGAGAUGUGGAGGAACACCAGUGGCGAAGGCGACUCUCUGGUCUGUAACUGACGCUGAGGAGCGAAAGCGUGGGGAGCGAACAGGAUUAGAUACCCUGGGUAGUCCAA